CGUCAACGAAACAAACCGAACACUUAGCGCUGCAAGAUUUAGAGAUGAUCGGAUUUGGCAGACACAAGAUUUAGGGUUUGCAGAUGAUCGAGAGAUACAACCUUCGUAACUCUAAUCUUUGAUUUUUAGGGUUUCUCUGCGUGUUUAAACUUUUUUGAAGAAAAAUCAAAAAUGGGUAGCGCUAACAACUUAAGCAGGGAACACGAAUCAAC
Molecule: long non-coding RNA, 212 nt
Filed under: Trifolium pratense (red clover)
Lineage: Eukaryota; Viridiplantae; Streptophyta; Magnoliopsida; Fabales; Fabaceae
Description: long non-coding RNA (TPRA_LNC008601)
Source: RNAcentral